AGUGACGGUACCUGCAGAAGAAGCACCGGCUAACUACGUGCCAGCAGCCGCGGUAAUACGUAGGGUGCGAGCGUUGUCCGGAAUUAUUGGGCGUAAAGAGCUCGUAGGCGGCUUGUCACGUCGGAUGUGAAAGCCCGGGGCUUAACUCCGGGUCUGCAUUCGAUACGGGCAGGCUAGAGUGUGGUAGGGGAGAUCGGAAUUCCUGGUGUAGCGGUGAAAUGCGCAGAUAUCAGGAGGAACACCGGUGGCGAAGGCGGAUCUCUGGGCCAUUACUGACGCUGAGGAGCGAAAGCGUGGGGAGCGAACAGGAUUAGAUACCCUGGUAGUCCACGCCGUAAACGUUGGGAACUAGGUGUGGGUCACAUUCCACGUGGUCCGCGCCGCAGCUAACGCAUUAAGUUCCCCGCCUGGGGAGUACGGCCGCAAGGCUAAAACUCAAAGGAAUUGACGGGGGCCCGCACAAGCAGCGGAGCAUGUGGCUUAAUUCGACGCAACGCGAAGAACCUUACCAAGGCUUGACAUAUACCGGAAACGGCCAGAGAUGGUCGCCCCCUUGUGGUCGGUAUACAGGUGGUGCAUGGUUGUCGUCAGCUCGUGUCGUGAGAUGUUGGGUUAAGUCCCGCAACGAGCGCAACCCUCGUUCUGUGUUGCCAGCGGGUUAUGCCGGGGACUCACAGGAGACUGCCGGGGUCAACUCGGAGGAAGGUGGGGACGACGUCAAAUCAUCAUGCCCCUUAUGUCUUGGGCUGCACACGUGCUACAAUGGCCGGUACAAUGAGCUGCGAUACCGCGAGGUGGAGCGAAUCUCAAAAAGCCGGUCUCAGUUCGGAUUGGGGUCUGCAACUCGACCCCAUGAAGUCGGAGUUGCUAGUAAUCGCAGAUCAGCAUUGCUGCGGUGAAUACGUUCCCGGGCCUUGUACACACCGCCCGUCACGUCACGAAAGUCGGUAACACCCGAAGCCGGUGGCCU
This 970-nucleotide ribosomal RNA is filed under the name Streptacidiphilus sp. RNAcentral describes it as "bacterial SSU rRNA". It matches the Rfam family "Bacterial small subunit ribosomal RNA", at positions 468 to 1436 of the family's 1533-position model. The record is from RNAcentral. Lineage: Bacteria; Bacillati; Actinomycetota; Actinomycetes; Kitasatosporales; Streptomycetaceae.